Molecule: long non-coding RNA, 1690 nt
Organism: Cyprinus carpio carpio
Lineage: Eukaryota; Metazoa; Chordata; Actinopteri; Cypriniformes; Cyprinidae
Source: Ensembl
ACCCUGCUCGGCUUACUAUUUUUGUUAACAAUAGGUCAAGAGGUCUGUAUGCUAAUUUGCGUGCUGAUAACAAGCUUUGAUGUUGCAAAUCAACUGUCAGAUCAAAGCCCGGCCUUGCAGACCCACGAGGGUUUGGCAGCCACAAUCUCCAACCUCCCUGUUUUCAGAGACCAAUUAACACCUGCCUCCAUUUAAUUGCCUGAUGCCCUACACACUGCAAAAAUGCUUAGCAGGUGAUUAGCGAUGCAAAAUAGGUGCUGGCGAGACCAGUCAGCCAAAGCCUGCAUGUUUAAAAACUCCUGUAAAGUUGAGCCAAUCAUUUGGGCGGCUGUUCCCCAGGCAGAGCUCUCGGCAUGCUAAAAAGAGGUCAAGAUGAAACCUGCCGAGAGGAUUCUGAGACUCACAAGUGAGCGUUUGGUAAAUUAAGAUGCAAAGGAACAUGCACAACGUGCGUUUUUGGACUAUUGAUUAACAUCCUUUUAAAACAGUAGGUGUCAGGACUUGGGGAAGGUCACUGAGCAUCAGUGGCCAUCUGCAGAUAAGAGCCACAAUGGAGGAAAGUUAGCAUAAUAAAGUGAGUGACUGCUGCCCGCACUGCCAAGGACACCUCGUAUCUGCCCCAGCUAGAUGCGGUCCACAUAGAGCUUCGUUAAGAUUAAUGCAAUGCAAGUUCUCGAAUGAAUGUGACAGACGAGAGAGAUAAAGAGACAGAUUCUCUGUCAUGUAUCCAGAAUGACGUCCCGUGGUGCCAAACACUUCUUCAAAAUAGAUUUGACCUCUUUCUCUACGAGCUCUGUUUUGACCAUGAGGUUUAGAUGUAAUGGGGAUAUAAUCCUCAAUAUUAUCAAUGUGCUUCGCUAUUAAACUGGAGCAUUAUUUGCUUGUGUAUGACACAUCUUUUACCUGAAGGGCUGCUUGUCUUUGUGGAGGAAAAAGAAUGAACAUUUUUUUUUUUUUUUUUUAGGUUAAUCUCUUUUGAGUUUGAGUUUCAUGUGGAGCGCAGCAGUAAAAUCAUGUUUAAUAUCACCAUUACAAAACUAUUUACAGUGAUAAAACAAACUAUUCCAGAUAUAUGAUCAUGAAGCCAUUUCGUAGCAAUAAUAUAAUUAAGAUAUACAUUAUGUAAGCUUGUUUCUGCCACACGAUUAAAAAAAAAAAUAACAAAAUGUGCGACUUAUCCCACAAAUCAUACUUUUUUUUUUUUAUUGUAAUUCUACAUUUAUAUUUCACAAUUCAGAAUAUAAGUCACAGUUCUGAGAAGAAAAGUCAGAAUUAUGAGACAAACUCGCAAUUGCAAGUCUUAAUCUCAAUUCUGAGAAGACUGGAAUUGAGAAAUAAACUUGUGUACAUAAGGACAAAAGUCAGAAUUGUGAAAUGAAAAAGUCACAAUUACCUUUUAUUUUAGUUUAAUUUUAAUUUUAAUUAAUUUAUUUUGUAUCCCAUGGUGGGAAAAAAAAACAAUGGAGUGAUUUAAAUUUGGAACUGCAAGAAAAAAAAAAAUCUGAGUUUAUAUCUUGCAAUUUGACUUUUCUAGUAAUUUUUGAGAUUAUAUUCCAAAAUUCAGGCUUUUCUUCUCUCAAUUACAACUUAAAUCUUGCAGUUCUAUCAUUCUGUGAGGGGGAAAAAAGUUGUUUUUAGAAAUUGUGAGAAAAGAGUCAGAAUUGUGAGAUAAAAAGUUGCAAUUACAUUU